AUCAUCGUCAUCAUCAGGACAACAUUAGGCAGAUAAAACAAGAUGGCAGCGGAGGCCUUGAUCUCAGCUAAGUCUCAAUCCUUCCACACCUUUAACACGCCUCAGAUCACCGCCAGCAAGUGUGGAAAUAACCUGGAAUGUCGGGUGUGCGAGGACGGGUUCAGCCUGGGCGGGGACAAGGUGCCGCGCCUCCUCUUCUGCGGCCACACCCUAUGCCACGCCUGUCUCCUGCGGCUCCCCACGCACGAUAACAAUAUACACUGCCCCUUCGACCGACAGCCCACACCAAUAAGUGCAUCAGGUGUGUGGGGGCUGAAGAAGAAUUUUGCGCUGCUGGAACUUCUGGAGCGACUGUCUCUGUCCCGGUCUAAUGCGGCGCUGCUCCCGGAGGUCCUGGUCAAGCAGAGGGAGCUCGGCAUUUCCUGUGACGAGGAUGAGGAGCAUUUGGCUGUCCUGUAUUGCACCGUCUGCGCCUCACACCUCUGCCUGGAGUGUUCCGAGCGCACCCACGCCACACGCACCCUUCACAAGCACAAGCGCAUCCCCCUAUCUGAGAAGCCGAGGGAGAAGCCGCGAUGUGCUGACCAUUCCUUUCACCCGGUGGAGUUCGUGUGUCUGGAAGAGGGGUGUCAGGCGGCUCCCCUCAUGUGCUUCAUCUGUAAGGACUAUAAGCACACCAAACACAAGCACAUGUUACUAGAGCAGGAAGCUGAGAGGAUACGAGCCACCAUUAGCACAGCACUUCAGCACAUCAAGAGAGUGGCCCAGGAGCUGACUGACUCGGCACAUAAACUGGAGGUCGUGGCAAGGAAACUGGAGGGCGGGCGAGCUGGCGACACCCCUUCAGAGGCGGACGAGGAGGGCACAGUGGAGGAGGCGAGGGUGCGUGUGAGGCAGUACUUUGCGCAGCUCCGGGAACAGCUGAGUCGCCAGGAGAGUCAGGCAAAAAAAGCGCUCGAGGCUCAUGUCAGGGAACGGCUUUGCUCCAUAAGACAGCAGCAGGAGGAUCUGGCAACACUGCUCUCACAGAUGGUGGCGGUUGUGGUUGACGGGGAGCGGGCGGUGCAGCACGAUGAUGGGCGGCUCAUCAUGGCCUUCAGGGACCUCUCGGCGCGCAUGGCCCACGUCACCUCACAGGAGCAGCAACUGGCCCAGCUCCUCGCCCUCACACCUGACCCAGCCAUUCCCAUCACUUUUACUAAGGACAACCGCAUCCACAUCGGGGCGCGGAUUGAGAUGCGCGUGGUGACCCUGGGGCUGGACGGGGCGGGGAAGACCUCCAUCCUGUUCAAGCUCAAGCAGGAUGAGUUUGUGUCCACCAUUCCGACCAUCGGCUUCAACGUCGAGACCAUUGAAUAUAAGAACUUCAAGUUCACCGUGUGGGAUGUUGGCGGCCAGCUCAAGCUCCGGCCCCUCUGGAGACACUACUACUUCAACACCCAGGCCGUGAUCUUCGUCGUGGACGCGACGGAUGUGGAGCGACUUCCCGAGGCCCAGACGGAGUUGACGAAGUUGAUGACGGAGAGGGAGCUGAAGGACGCCUCGCUGCUUAUCUUCGCCAACAAGGAGAACUGUGAACACGCGCUGGACAUGCCCACCCUCACCGACAGCCUAGGCCUACACAAGCUCUGCCUGGGACGCUCCUGGCACAUCCAACCCUGCGAUGCCCAGUCUGGUACGGGCCUACACCAAGGGCUGGACUGGCUGGCGAGGCAACUAGUACCUUCGGAAGUCCUCAACUCGGCUGGCUGAGCACCCCGCGAUGCCUACGUAGUGUUGGUUGACCCGGUUGAGUUUGGGUGAGACAGGAGGCAGCUCAAGGGAAAGACAGGAGUGAUACUGGUAAUACUUAUCUGGUAAUACUGGAAAAGGGUGUGGAAGGGAAUCAGGUCCUGUUUAGUCAACUUAAAGAAGGAUCAAGUAGGCUGUUUGUCAUCUUUUUCUUGUGUUUUGAUAGGAAAGAAAGGAGUUUGAGGUUGAAAAAGAUAGGAAACAGAGGGUAAUACUGGUUAUACUUAGCUGGUAAUACUGGAAAAGGGUGUAGAAGGGAAUCAGGUCCUGUUUAGUCAACUUAAAGAAGGAUCAAGUAGGCUGUUUGUCAUCUUUUUCUUGUGUUUUGAUAGGAAAGGAAGGAGUUUGAGGUUAAAAAAGGUCAGAAACACAGCUGGCAAUACUGGAAAAGGGCGUGAAAGAGAAUUGGAUCUUGUAUUGUUAACUUAAAGAAGGAUUGAGUAGACGGUUUCCCAUUUUUUUCUUGUGUUUUGAUAGGAAGGGAAGGAGUUUGAGGUUAAAAAAGGUCAGAAACACAGCUGCUAAUAUUGGAACAGGGUGUGAAAGGGAAUUGGAUCUUGUAUUGUUAACUUAAAGAAGGAUUGAGUAGACGAUUUCCCAUUUUUUUCUUGUGUUUUGAUAGGAAGGGAAGGAGUUUGAGGUUGAAAAAGGUCAGAAACACAGCUGGCAAUACUGGAAAAGGGUGUGAAAGGGAAUCGGAUCUUGUAUUGUUAACUUAAAGAAGGAUUGAGUAGACGGUUUCUCACCUUUUUCUUGUGUUUUGAUAGGAAAGGAAGGAGUUUGAGGUUAAAAAAGGUCAGAAACACAGCUGGCAAUACUGGAAAAGGGUGUGAAAGGGAAUCGGAUCUUGUAUUGUUAACUUAAAGAAGGAUUGAGUAGACGGUUUCUCCCUUUUUUCUUGUGUUUUGAUAGGAAAGGAAGGAGUUUGAGGUUAAAAAAGGUCAGAAACACAGCUGGCAAUACUGGAACAGGGUGUGAAAGGGAAUCGGAUCUUGUAUUGUUAACUUAAAGAAGGAUUGAGUAGACGAUUUCCCAUUUUUUUCUUGUGUUUUGAUAGGAGAGGAAGGAGUUUGAGGUUAAAAAAGGUCAGAAACGCAGCUUCUAAUACUGGAACAGGGUGUGAAAGGGAAUCGGAUCUUGUAUUGUUAACUUAAAGAAGGAUUGAGUAGACGAUUUCCCAUUUUUUUCUUGUGUUUUGAUAGGAAAGGAAGGAGUUUGAGGUUAAAAAAGGUCAGAAACACAGCUGGUAAUAUUGGAACAGGGUGUGAAAGGGAAUUGGAUCUUGUAUUGUUAACUUAAAGAAGGAUUGAGUAGACG
Molecule: RNA transcript, 3108 nt
Organism: Eriocheir sinensis (Chinese mitten crab)
Lineage: Eukaryota; Metazoa; Arthropoda; Malacostraca; Decapoda; Varunidae
Gene name: E3 ubiquitin-protein ligase TRIM23-like
Exons: 13
Source: RefSeq, a predicted model, not a curated record